UCAACAUGUAAACAAUAUAAAAAUAUUAAUUAAAUAUUAUACAUAAUUGUAAAGUAAAUGCUUGAAACCCUGAACAUAUUUCACACUAAGAACACAUGUCAGUUCACACAUCAAGAAAAACUGGUCCGCCUCCCAGGUUCACGCCAUUCUCCUGCCUCAGCCUCCCGAGUAGCUGGGACUACAAUCACCCGCUACCACACCCGGCUAAUUUUUUGUAUUUUUAGUAGAGACGGGGUUUCCC
RNAcentral lists this long non-coding RNA (241 nucleotides) under Pan troglodytes (chimpanzee). RNAcentral's name for it is "long non-coding RNA NONPTRT004594". Lineage: Eukaryota; Metazoa; Chordata; Mammalia; Primates; Hominidae. The record is from RNAcentral.